Molecule: ribosomal RNA, 301 nt
Filed under: uncultured bacterium
Lineage: Bacteria
Description: partial 16S ribosomal RNA
Rfam family: Bacterial small subunit ribosomal RNA
Source: RNAcentral
CAGCCGCCGCGGGAAUACGAAGGGGGCUAGCGUUGUUCGGAAUGACUGGGCGUAAAGCGCACGUAGGCUGCUUUGUAAGUCAGAGGCGAAAGCCCGGGGCUCAACCCCGGAUGUGCCUUUGAGACUGCAGGGCUAGAACGUCGGAGAGGUGAGUGGAAUUCCGAGUGUAGAGGUGAAAUUCGUAGAUAUUCGGAAGAACACCAGUGGCGAAGGCGGCUCACUGGACGACUGUUGACGCUGAGGUGCGAAAGCGUGGGGAGCAAACAGGAUUAGAUACCCCUGUAGUCCCUGUCUCUUAUAC